This is a long non-coding RNA of Macrosteles quadrilineatus (aster leafhopper), 417 nucleotides long. RefSeq lists it as uncharacterized. The transcript has 2 exons. The record is from RefSeq and is a predicted model, not a curated record. NCBI's taxonomy places the organism in Eukaryota, Metazoa, Arthropoda, Insecta, Hemiptera, Cicadellidae.
ACAGAUUAAUACAAUACUUUGGUCUGACGUUCAUUCUUUGUGAAGUUUGUGGUAAGAGAUCAGCUUUUGCGUCUUCAUAAAAAUUUCACCAGUUUAAUAUAAGUACUAUCAGUAUGAAAAUUCACCAAUUCGCUGUCUUGAUCUUGGCGAUUCUAAUCGCUAUGGCUUCAGCGAUGCCAAAAGAAGGGGAACAUUCAUACGCAUCUCUUGGAUUCAGCGGACGUGAUGUUGAGAAGAACGUACUGUUUGUCGGAAAAACUAUCGAGCGCGCUGGACAAAAUACGAAAAGAGCUGCUGAAAAAGUUGGCAAGGAGGUUCGUAGAGCCUGGAGAAGAAUCUUUGGAUAGAAAUUAAUACCUAUAUUUUAAAUUCAUCCAAAUGUAUAAUUUCCUUAUCAAAUAUUAACUUUUAAACAUU